RNAcentral lists this non-coding RNA (31 nucleotides) under Homo sapiens (human). The record is from RNAcentral. Lineage: Eukaryota; Metazoa; Chordata; Mammalia; Primates; Hominidae.
UGGCAGAACCACAAGAUAUUGACAAUGGAAA